UCCCUGGUGGCUCAGACGAUAAAGCAUCUGCCUGCAAAGCAGGAAACCCAGAUUCAAUCCCUGGGUCGGGAA
This 72-nucleotide transfer RNA is filed under the name Capra hircus (goat). It matches the Rfam family "tRNA". From Rfam's summary of the family: Transfer RNA (tRNA) molecules are approximately 80 nucleotides in length. Their secondary structure includes four short double-helical elements and three loops (D, anti-codon, and T loops). RNAcentral also lists the same sequence under 1 other name. Lineage: Eukaryota; Metazoa; Chordata; Mammalia; Artiodactyla; Bovidae. The record is from Rfam by way of RNAcentral.